RNAcentral lists this ribosomal RNA (95 nucleotides) under Gemmatimonadaceae bacterium. Lineage: Bacteria; Pseudomonadati; Gemmatimonadota; Gemmatimonadia; Gemmatimonadales; Gemmatimonadaceae. The record is from RNAcentral.
CCACACCCGUUCCCAUCCCGAACACGGUCGUUAAGCCCUACAGCGCCGAUGGUACUCCGGUCGAGAGACCGCGGGAGAGUAGGCCGUCGCCGGCA